AAAGAAUGAAAUUAAUAGAAUCAGCGAUCUAUGCCUUACUCAACCACCUCUUUAAGGUCUUCAGUAGUUAGGGGGCGCGUAUCCACUGUUAUCUCCUCUUAGGGAGUCUGGUACCCACUCCUCUUCUCUUAUUGGCUUGGGAUGUACACAACAGUCGAAGCAAUGUAUAAUAAGCGUCGAUCACGAUACGCCUUUGAUCACCCGGAU
This 207-nucleotide long non-coding RNA is filed under the name Lathyrus oleraceus (garden pea). Its description in RNAcentral is "Pisum sativum (pea) long non-coding RNA (PSAT_LNC029599)". Lineage: Eukaryota; Viridiplantae; Streptophyta; Magnoliopsida; Fabales; Fabaceae. The record is from RNAcentral.